UGCUGCUGGUGUCUGGCUGAUC
RNAcentral lists this microRNA (22 nucleotides) under Eptesicus fuscus (big brown bat). RNAcentral describes it as "efu-miR-9196". The record is from miRBase by way of RNAcentral. Lineage: Eukaryota; Metazoa; Chordata; Mammalia; Chiroptera; Vespertilionidae.